CUGUCUCGUUGCUUUUUUGCUUUUGUGCUUGUGUCCUAGUGAAAUACUGCUUGGUCUUGCUUUCCCAAGACUCCGAAAAAAUUUGUUUAAAGUGACUGUGAAAAGCAUUUUUAGUCUAGUGAAAUAUGUGUGAUUUAUGUGUAAGAAGCGCAAAUGGCGGCUCUGCAUGAGCUGUGCCACAUUGUGCUGCUGACGAAUGACGACACGAGUAUAUGACUCGGUAUAUAUGCACCGCCACUCACGAAUGUAAUGGAACAUGAUCAACAGACCGAAGGAAGCAAGGGGCGCCACGCGAUAAAACGCUACAUCUUCGUGUUACCAAUUCGCUAUUCUACUGCUGCCGUUACUACUCUGACUUACGUCGAUUGUGUUUCUAUUCGACUAGUGAUCAUUCCGAUGGUUUUUUCGACCUACUGUGUUUCGUGUUCUUUUUGACACAGUGCAGUAUUAAAGCUUAUUUUUGUCAUUAUUCUGCGCUGUAAAGUCGUUCACUUUGCCUGUAAUGAUACCUGGAGCACUGUCAUUUAACUUCGUGUGUAGGGUCGCCUUGCAAACUUCUAAAGCAUUAGUUGUGUGCGAACGUGCAUAACCAAGAUUCUCGCAUUCUGCCUGCAUAUUUCAUGCACCAAAAAACAGGCUUUGGAGUUAAAGUUGUGAAUAGUUAAAAUUAUCGUGAUUAAAUGUGAUUAAACAAGUAAACUAUGAGUUAAAGGUGGUGAUAUGACAAGUGGUGCACAGAACCCUGAAGGCGUAACAGAAAAGAGCACCAUUAACAGCAACGGUCAGUGGAGCAGAAACGUUAGCAUCACGCACCCAAGGCGCGUGAGCUUAACGAAGGAUUCUGCGAGUACCAGCGGCAGUAUUCCGCGAAUAUACAACGCUCUCACGGCCGCGGCAGUAGCUGCAGCAGCCGCGGCCACGGGGCUCAAUUCAGAAAAUAGCAGUGGAGGCGGUGGUGGUCUUGGUGGCUCACUGAACAAACGUCAUCGUAAGCACGAAAAAUUUCGCCGAAGUUCAGGGAAAAAAAAGAAGAAACGUUCGCGAGCGGAUGACAAGCCGAAACCUUUGGUUGAGUACUCAGACGUUAGUAGCGAAGAUCUGUCCGAGCCUGAGGCCGGAGAGAUACAAUCGGAGGAUAGUCGCGGCGGCAACAGUUACACUGACGGUGAAGCCCCUGAUCCUCUUUUGCAGCACACUCGGUAUUACGAGACAGGACCAGGUCAUGCUGCUUCGUCGCUUCGAGAUGCUUCGCCAAUAAGUUUGACCCCAACGCCGCCGUCGGGGCAUCAUUCAAAAAAAUUGCACAAUUACUCGUCCAGUGUUGAAGUAACCGACGACAUGGUUGAGCACUUUGGUGAAGUUGCGGGUAGUCGUAGGAGAAAGGAAAAAAAACACAAGCGUGACAAAAAAAAGGUCAAAGGCAGUCCUGGCUCAGCGGUGGGUAAGAAGAAAAAAAGAAAAUCAAAAAAGUCUUCAAGAAGCCUUAGUCCGAGCGCAAUGCCCGAAAUGCUGAUACAUUCUCGGGCUCUAGUCGAACUACGUAUGAGGCAGUCCGAAGCUACUUCGCCAAUAAUGGCUCUCAAAGAUAGUACUUCUCCAAUUUCGCCAGCUACACCACCAGACCAACGCCAUCAUGGUAGAUCACCGAGUGAUAUGGAUUUGGAAUCACCGCCACCACCAGCUCGACACUUGACUCCUCCACACCGUCUUGCUGAAUCCCCCCACACUCCAUUGCAACCACCAAGAGCUCACACGCCGGAUGGUCACCAUCAUCAUUCGGGUAAAUCAAAGCAUCAUAGUCCAGAUUCGAGGUAUAAGCACACUAGCCCAAAUCAUAGAAGCAGGAGACCACAUAGUCCAAGCCCUCCUAACAGGGGAAGAAGAGAACAUAGUCCGACAAGGCGAAGAGAUUAUAGUCCUUCGACUCAUCAAUCAAGUUCUGUUCACCGAAUGAGCUCCAGACACAGUCAGAGUCCUUCGCGAUCAAGACGAGAUUAUAGUCACAGUCCACAUCGAAAGAGGGUUGAAGAUUUGAUGCCUAGAUCUCCUCCGAGUAAAAGACGCCGAAGAGAUGACUCGUCACGAAGAGUUAAAGAAAAAGACAGAAGAGACAAAAGAACUUCAAGGCUCGUAUCUCGAUCGCGAUCACGUAGCCCACAUCGACGGCGUAAAUCGUCAAGAUCUCGUUCGCGUUCCCGUCGACGCAGUCGCUCUCCAAAGAAAUCACCAAAAUCACACAAAAUUAUUCGUAAACACCGCUCAAAGAGUCCGAGGCCAUCACGUAUUCCUUCACCUGUACAUCGUUCAACUCGGCGCUCUCCUAAUAGCAUUUUAGAACGCAAACUUAAAGUUGCAGCAAAAAUCAGCGAAACGAGUUUGUUCGCCGAGUUGGUUAAAGAUCGAAAUAUGCGCGAAUUAGCUUUGAAAAAGUUCCAAGCUGCCAAAGAAAAGGCUAAUCAAGACGAAGUGCAAAUUAUUGAUGGUUCUGAUGAAAAAGAAAAUAGCAAUUCUUCAACGACAACUGAUAAAGGGGGAGACAAGUCAAGCACAUCUGGUACGACUCCUUGUACAAACGUUGAUUUGACCCUCGACGUUACUGAUAUUCCUGUGCCUGCAAUGGGAACACCAAUGACUGAACCGCCGAUGCAGAACCAAAUAUUGUUACAAAUACCUAUACCAGGGGUACCUACCUCAUCUGUGGCUCCAAAUUUGUUAGCCAAUACAUUAAAUUAUUCUGCUAACAUCGUUUCAACCACAGCUACAACUGUAUCUGGAAAUACAAGUCUCACUUCUACAGGAGUAACAACUUUACAAUCUUUAGAAGAAAGAACAGGAUCAGCAACAAGUACACCACCUUUGCCUUCAACAGGACCGGCUGCAUUAGCAUUACAGCAACAAAAGAAUGAUUCUUUGAUUACUGCUACUGUACUUAAUCAAGGAGUAAAUGUCUACGGUUCUCCAACAGCUUUGGGUAUUGAUAUUGCUGGCAACUCGUCUGCGAUAUUAGUUUCAGCUGUAUCUCAAUCGCUGGUGCCACCUAUGCCACAGCAAGAACAGUUGGAACAGUUACAACAAAAAUUGCAACAGCAGUUGGCAAUUCCUAAUCAGUCCCAAGAAUCAGCUUAUACUCCUCCAUCCUCGCAAAUUUCUCCCCCAAUUCCAUCACAAAUUACCCAUGUAAAUUCAUCAACUGAGCCUUUAAAAACUGAUCGACUAUCACCAACAGAUUUAAAAACAGCGUCUGCGAAUAUUCGUGAACCAUCACCAAUGGAUUUAGAAGUUAAACAUAAUAUACCAGUAAACUCGCCCCGAAAUGAAUCACCUCAAAAGAACUCAGUUACAUCGAAAUUUGAAACACAGCAACAACGCGCUUCACCUUCAGAAAAUUUGGUACCAAUCCAGCAGGCUCAAGUACAACAGCUGACAUCACCUUCGCGAGCCCAGUAUUUACCGCAAUCCCAGCUGUCCUCUAAUAUAUCAUCAAAACCUCAAGCUCUACCAACAUCUCUUCCACCGCAAUUUGUACAUUCACCUAUUAGUCAACAAUCUGGUCACACGAACCAGCCUGUACACUCACUCGUUUCUCAGCAACCGAUUCAACAUCAACAACUGAAUUAUUCAUGUAAACAGUCACCGCAAGUUCAACAUCCUUCACGUGUUACUCAUCAUCCGCAAGUGCCUGUACACGUACCUCCUACAACAGCUAUAUCAGCACCUCCACAAUCCAAUUUCCCCUCUAAUUUUUCCCAAAACAUACCCCAGGUUGCUGGCUCUUCAUCUACUCCAUCUUUUGCACUCUCGACAGCAAUUGCAAAAUAUAGUACACCCAACAAUCUUGUUACCGUACCAAUCAAGUCAGAUGCACCCAAACCUCAAAUGGUUUUCAAAACAAAAAGCCUUUCAAAGUUGCCUUUACCACCAGGAAUUAAUCAGAAUGAUCUUGAGAGUAUUGAUUCUCCUCCAAGUCGCUCACCUAGCCCAACAUCUUCAACACCAGUGUUGAAACCUAAAACUCCAAAAAUAGCUCCACUUACACCAAAACCACACUUACCCUCUCACAAACCAACUUUAGUAACUCCUAAACCUGCGGUUGGUGUAAAAGCCAGAAAAAGCAUUAAAGAUUUACCUAUGCCACCUGGUCCAGCUACUGUUAGUCCAGAAUCAGGUGAAGAUGAUGUUUCAACGCCACCUCUUAGUAGACCAGAACGUUCUGUACCAAAACCAAAAUUAAAACGACCAAAGAUUUUGAAACGUCGUAGUUCUCGAAGCAGUCAAGUAACUUCUAUAUCUGGUAAUAAAGAUUGGGGUGAACGUUGCGUUGAUGUUUUUGAAGUUAUUGAUCAAAUUGGUGAGGGUACUUAUGGUCAAGUAUAUAAAGCUCAAGACAAAAGAGCUGGAGUUAUCGUUGCUCUCAAAAAAGUACGGCUUGAAAAUGAAAAAGAUGGGUUUCCUAUUACUGCUGUUAGAGAAAUUAAAAUAUUAAGACAGCUGAAUCAUAAGAAUAUUGUCAAUCUCCGAGAAAUUGUUACUGAUAAACAAGAUGCUCUUGAUUUUCGAAAGGACAAAGGUUCUUUUUACCUAGUAUUUGAAUAUAUGGAUCACGAUUUGAUGGGUCUUCUUGAAUCAGGAAUGGUUGAUUUUAAUGAAAUGAAUAACUCUAGCAUUAUGAAGCAAUUAUUAGAUGGCCUUAAUUAUUGUCACAGUAAGAAUUUUUUGCAUCGUGACAUCAAAUGUUCAAAUAUUCUUAUGAAUAACAAGGGUGAAGUCAAAUUAGCUGAUUUUGGUUUAGCUAGACUUUAUAACGCUGAAGAUAGACAGCGUCCAUACACUAAUAAAGUUAUUACUUUGUGGUAUAGACCACCAGAACUUUUAUUAGGGGAAGAACGAUAUGGACCAGCUAUUGAUGUUUGGAGCUGUGGAUGCAUAUUAGGAGAAUUAUUUCUUAAAAAACCACUGUUUCAGGCUAAUGUAGAAAUGAUGCAGUUAGAUAUUAUUUCUAAAGUAUGUGGCACUCCUGUACCAGCAGUAUGGCCGUCUGUGAUAAAAUUACCUUUGUGGCAUACUUUAAAACCAAAAAAAAUUUAUAGGAGAAGACUCAGGGACGAGUUUUCGUUUAUGCCAUCUACAGCUUUAGAUCUUUUGGACAGAAUGUUAGAACUUGACCCAGAAAAACGCAUUACGGCUGCUGAUGCUUUAAAAAGUCCAUGGCUUAAAAACGUACAACCAGAAUUAAUGCCUUUACCAAAAUUACCUACAAAUCAAGAUUGCCAUGAACUAUGGAGUAAGAAAAGAAGACGCCAAUUGCGAGAACAACAAGAAAGUUCACAAGGUAGAAUGCCUCUGAUGUCAGUACCAAAUAGAGGUGGCAUGCUAAAAGCCAUUGAGGACCUGACUGAUAUUGGGGGGAAAUAAAUUGUAUGGACAGUUGUGAUAAAGGAAUACUUUUUUUAACACUUAUAAAAGUAUCAUCAAAAAGACUAA
Molecule: unclassified non-coding RNA, 5481 nt
Filed under: Trichogramma pretiosum
Lineage: Eukaryota; Metazoa; Arthropoda; Insecta; Hymenoptera; Trichogrammatidae
Description: cyclin-dependent kinase 12, transcript variant X8
Source: RNAcentral